UACCCAAGGAAUGGCAAAUAUGAGCAAUAGUAUGGGGACCUUCAGUGCAUAUCGGGUAUGCUUUAUUGAUUAAUUCGUUUAAUCUCUUUCUACUCUUAGGACAUUGCAGGCAAACGGAGCGACAUGUAGAACAGCAGAAGCAAGGAACUGCAGAACUCGUUAAUUCAAAUGCAACAUGGCGAGGUUCCAUAGCAGCCCACGUGGACGUUGUGAGGGUAAAAAAGGAGGAAAUGCAUUUUACAUACAUAAGGUCAUAAGGGGACCACUGCCUUCUGAAUGAAUAUGAGUAUCUUCAUGGAAAAAAUAUCUUGAGAGGAAAAAAAGAACUUUGGCUGGGUGUGCGGAAUGGAGAACCCUUGGUUCUAUUAUUUAUGGAGACAUCACAGAACAGCCGGUUGGAGCUAAGGAAGCACCAAAAUAAUGUACCAGGCUAACCAAUCAGAAGGCCAUGGUCCCCCUUGGCUGCCUGUUUAUCCAGACACCGGAAGAAUUACUCAAGACCUAACUUUCUUUUUAUUGCACUUCUUAGGAGUACCAGGUCCAACCAUCAGCCCGUCCAGCUCCGGUCCCAUGGGGAUCACAUACAUGUGAGUACAAAGCGACAUUUUAUUGAUUUAUUCUUAUUUUUUUUAAAUUUUAUUUGUUUUUAAUUUGAGAGAGAGAGAGAGAG
This is a long non-coding RNA of Felis catus (domestic cat), 670 nucleotides long. RefSeq lists it as uncharacterized. The transcript is spliced from 5 exons. Lineage: Eukaryota; Metazoa; Chordata; Mammalia; Carnivora; Felidae. The record is from RefSeq and is a predicted model, not a curated record.